Molecule: ribosomal RNA, 253 nt
Filed under: uncultured prokaryote
Description: partial 16S ribosomal RNA
Rfam family: Bacterial small subunit ribosomal RNA
Source: RNAcentral
UACGUAGGGUGCAAGCGUUAAUCGGAAUUACUGGGCGUAAAGCGUGCGCAGGCGGUCUUCCAAGUCAGUGGUGAAAGCCCGGAGCUCAACUCCGGAACUGCCAUUGAAACUGUGAGACUCGAGUACGAGAGAGGUGAGUGGAAUUCCCAGUGUAGAGGUGAAAUUCGUAGAUAUUGGGAAGAACACCGGUGGCGAAGGCGGCUCACUGGCUCGUAACUGACGCUCAGGCACGACAGCGUGGGGAUCAAACAGG